UGGAAAUAAUUGAAGUGAAAGGCGGAAGUAGUAUUUAAUUAUGCCAUAUUAUCAUUAGCCUUUCAGACACAAACAUCUGUAGAAUAAACUUGACCCAUAUAUAUAGGCAUCAGGCCUUAUACUAGUUUAAUAUUGGUAAAAUGUCAUAUAAUUGACUCAUCAGAUCUAACCUAUCAGCAGAGGGAGGAAGUGAUGUAAACUCCCUAGGGGUAUAAAUAGGCCUCAGAAAUCUCUUCCAAAUCACUUGCCAUACAGGAAAGGAGGCAGCAACACAGGUCCUGAAUCUCUUAAUUUCUAGUUGGAAGUUAUAUCUUACCGGCCACUGUGGAGCUCAGAACCUACUUGUUGUCGAACUCUAAAGAAUUUUUAUUUUAGAAGAUGCACCUUAUUGGAUUUUAAGGAGCUUUUUAGCCCAACUUGUUAUCAUCGUGCUGAACUUUAAGUAAGUUAUAACAAAGUUCAGUUUUUAAAUAUGCCUAUUAAGUGCUUUG
Long non-coding RNA from Pseudophryne corroboree (corroboree frog), 491 nucleotides. RefSeq lists it as uncharacterized. The record is from RefSeq and is a predicted model, not a curated record. NCBI's taxonomy places the organism in Eukaryota, Metazoa, Chordata, Amphibia, Anura, Myobatrachidae. The transcript is spliced from 3 exons.